Molecule: unclassified non-coding RNA, 2107 nt
Filed under: Hevea brasiliensis (rubber tree)
Lineage: Eukaryota; Viridiplantae; Streptophyta; Magnoliopsida; Malpighiales; Euphorbiaceae
Source: RNAcentral
UUUGAAUGUUACAAACAGCUGAUGAGUAUGAAUCAAAUACAUAUAAAGAACGUCUCAAAGACGCAUUAGUGUAUUCUCCAGCCUUCUCCUUUUCCCAAGAAAUCUGUUAUAAUCACUCUCCUUCUGCAGAGGCUUAUUGUUUUUGGUAUAUUAUGCAAGUUGUUAACCAGUUAGGAAGAAACUUAAUUUUCUUUUCAUGUCUAGUUUGAUGCAGCAACUAACUCAAGAAUUGGAACACGAUGAAAUUCGAUCAUUUAGGCACUCAGUUGGAUCACCGGUAGCCAGCUCUCCUCCAGGCAGCUGGUCAAACUUCGGCAGUCCAGUUGAACCCAACCCGUUGCGAGGUUAUAGUCAAUCACCUGGUCUGAGAAAUCUCAGCCCUGUAAAUGGUAAUCUUAUGCCAGGGCUGGCCUCUAUUCUUCCUGGACACCUUUCAAGUCCGAAGAUUGCACCCAUUGGUAAAGAUCCUGCAAGGGUUGGCCAUUUGAAUCAGGUAACUUCUAGUCCAAAGUCAUCUCAAGGAAUGGGUUAUCAGCAUUCUUUUUCAGUCCCUGAGCAGAAACCGGCUUUAAGCAUAGGAUCUGUGCCAUUUGGUAACUCUAAGGCAUCCGGUACUGGAACGCUUUCUGGUCCACAGUUUCUUUGGGGUAGUCCCCCUAUUCACUCAGAGCGAUCCGACUCUCCUAUCUGGCCAGCUUCAUCAAUGGCACGUCCAUUCGCAUCAAAUGGACAAGGACAGGGCUAUCUCCAUUCCCGUAGGCAAAGCUCUUUCCUUGGAUCACAUCACGUGGGGUCUGCUCCAUCUGGAAAUCCUUUGGAUAGGCAUUUUGGUUUUUUCCCAGAAUCUCCUCAAACAUCAUAUAUGAACCCACAUGCAUUUGGCAGUGGAGGUUCUAGUCAUAACAGUGCAAAUCAGGUGAUGAAUAUAGGUAGCCUUGGAGCAAUGAACAUGGGUGGUGCUCUUACUGGGAACUUUACUGAAAGUGGUUCUCCUAGCUCUAGAAUGAUGCCAUUGACAAGGAAUGGACCUAUAUUUUUUGGAAAUGGCUCAUAUGGAGGAGCAGGAACAGUUAAUGGUGAAGGGCUGAUUGAACGUGGUCGAAAUCGAAAAAUUGAAAGUGGUGGUAAUCAGAUUGACAACAAGAAACAGUAUCAGCUUGAUUUGGAGAAGAUCAUGAGUGGAGGAGAUACAAGGACCACCUUGAUGAUUAAGAACAUCCCGAACAAAUACACCUCAAAGAUGCUACUUGCAGCAAUUGAUGAGUCUCAUAAGAGUACAUACGAUUUUAUCUAUUUGCCAAUUGAUUUCAAGAAUAAAUGUAAUGUUGGUUAUGCCUUCAUUAACAUGGUGUCUCCUGCACAUAUCGUCUCCUUUUACGAGGCAUUCAAUGGAAAGAAGUGGGAAAAGUUUAACAGUGAAAAAGUUGCAUCAUUGGCUUACGCACGUAUCCAGGGAAAGGUAGCUCUGGUUACUCACUUCCAAAACUCAAGCUUGAUGAAUGAAGACAAAAGAUGCCGACCAAUUCUUUUCCAGUCAGAGGGCCAAGAGGCAGCUGAUGAGGAAACGUUGCCAUCCAGCAAUCUGAAUAUUUGUAUCCGUCGGCCUGAUGGGUCAUAUUCAGGAGAUUCUCUUGAUAGCCCAACAAGCGAUAUAGAUGGGAGACCAGAGCUAUUCACUGGAAGCAGCUGACCCUCAACCGUGGCAAUGGGUGUUCUAACUGUGAAUAGAAAUUCAAGUACAUAAUUUGUCAAUGAAACCAGGAAACUGCAUAUAGUUACUUAUGUGAGCUAGUUGUGUCUGCUUUUUGGAUGGAGGACACUCUAGAGCAUGUAGGACGAAUUGUUACAGAGGCCGCGAGCAUUUUGUUUAUAUGUAGAAUGAUGACAAUUGAUCUAUUUAACAGUGGGGGAAAGUAAAAUAAGGUUUUAAGCAUUCAGCCAACUUGUGAAGUCUCUCUCUGCUGCUGAUAUGCUUUUGCCACAGUUUGGCUGUUAUGCUUCUUGUUGUGAUGAGAUUCUCUUGACUAAUGCAUAAUUUUUUAUGUUAUACUUGUGGGGCUGUUUCAUAAGUGUAUAGGAUGGAGAUUGACAGACCCUACAUUUUUUC